GGAUGCGAUCAUACCAGCACUAAAGCAUCGGAUCCCAUCAGAACUCCGAAGUUAAGCGUGCUUGGGAGAGAGUAGCACUAGGAUUGGUGACCUCCUAGGAAGUCCUCGUGUUGCAUUCC
Molecule: non-coding RNA, 119 nt
Organism: Triticum aestivum (bread wheat)
Lineage: Eukaryota; Viridiplantae; Streptophyta; Magnoliopsida; Poales; Poaceae
Source: Rfam